This 3504-nucleotide long non-coding RNA is filed under the name Triticum aestivum (bread wheat). Its description in RNAcentral is "long non-coding RNA (TAES_LNC023221)". Lineage: Eukaryota; Viridiplantae; Streptophyta; Magnoliopsida; Poales; Poaceae. The record is from RNAcentral.
UUUCAAACAAUUGAAUUUGGAUCCAUAAUUCAAAUUUAUAAAUUGCAACCAGAAUUCAAUGUACACAUCAGAUUCUUGUUCAAUUACACAUACAUCCCACUCAUGGUCAAUGUACAGCUAGGAUUCAAGAAGUAAACUAUAGCUAAAGUUUGCUACAGCUAACAGUAUAACUAAAUCAGAAUGUACAUGUGUUGUUGGUCAGGCCAAUUAUCUGCAGGUUCUGCUUGAUUUGCUACACCUCCGAUUAUGACCUUGAGCAAGAGCGUGAAUUAUAAGUUAGUGUCCAUCAACCAACAGACCAUGACCACCCGUAAGAACAUGUUCCUACAAACGGAGAAGGUAAUCCAGUGAUAAGUAAAGAGUUUGAACACAAAGAAAUCAAGAACGGGCUCAGGAUUAUAGUGAAUAGGCCUAACAAUUCCUAACAAGGAUACAAUAUGAUCUGGACCAGAAUUAAUUCAUCUCGAGGAAAUAAUAUUGGUCAAGUUCAUUGAUAAAGUUCGUUGCACUAAUCACUAGAAAAUGUACAAAGAUUAAUAUUUUGGUGUUGGGCUCAACCAAUUUUGCUUCUCCACAGCACAUGAACUUAACCAAACAUACAAUGCCUUUUGCCUAUACGAUUUGAUGGGGAUAAAACAUAGAAUGGUAUGUGUUCUCUCACACACCAGGUUGCAAUACAGGAAAAAUUAAUCAUUGUGUAACUUCAACGAAUUAGCAUCUUACAUCUUCCAUAUUUAUGAUAAUUUAAUGGAUGUGUCGAGCAAACAUUGGAUUUAUAUAUCCAUCUAUGAAAUAAAAGAGGAGUUCUUUUACCUUAUCAUCUGAUUUGAUCAACCUUGUAAAAAGAAUUAAAAAAAGAAAUUUAUUAGCAAAAUAGAUGGCAGGGGUGGUUGGCAGAUGCAUAGGAAAACAGACCAUCCCCUGCACUGCAACUGAUUUGCAUAGUGAGAUAUUAAAUGUAUUGCUUGUAGGAAAAUUUUCUAAUUUAAGCAAAAUACUGUAUGAACUGAGAAGCUAUGCCAUUCUGAUUCUGAAUAGAGAAAUAGGAUAAGUGUAUAGCUUACUGGCCUAAAUAGGAUAGCCGUAACCUGCAGGUUAUGAUGGUUUUGCUAUCUUCCGUACAAAUUCUCUUAUGUUAGACAAAAAGAGUACAUGUGGCUUGCCAGUAACAUCAAACUGAAUAUCGUUGCCACCAUUGCGAUUGAUAGCCACAGAAUUAUGUUAAAUUGAAUGUACACAAGACAUGUAUUUAUACAGCAAACUAUAAUUCUCCGGGAGAAUUGGAAGGUGAUGUUGUAUUUAUAUAGCAAACAACAGUUCCGUGAAAAAAAAUCAAAUGUGUUAAGUCUACAACAGAGACAAUCAUAUCUGCAAACAGUAACACAUCUAUAUAGCGCGCGAUGGUUCGUUUGAUAGAACUUUCAGAAUCCCAUGAGCUGUAUUUUGAACUAAAUCAAAUGUGCCCUACAUGAUCAUAAAAUAAACAGCAAUUUUUGCAAUAGCAAAUUGUUCCCCAAAACAUUACCCUGGGAUAUUAAUUACCAUGUUAAACAUGUGUCCUCACAUAAAAAUUGACGUAUAUAGCUGGAGCAGAGCCAGAUGCACUUACAGAGACAUGCACUUAUAGAGACGGUAAUCUUCAUAUAAUAACCUGAUAUAAGAAAACAAAGACAGUAACUAGUCAUGGCAGGAAAAAGGUUAUAUAUAAAUUGCAAUUGUGCAUGUACUUCUCAAGUCGCUUCUCCUACCUCAAUAGAGAAUAGCAUCCAUGGGAGAUCAAGACUCCUUCCUGAGUAGAUUGGGACUGGUUUGGAGACGCUCCGUCCUGUAUCCGAACCAGAGAACCCAUGGAGCUAAGGUGGAGCCUGGUGUGAUCGUCAUUAGAACAGAAUCAGCUUUAAGAAAUGAAACUUAGGCAAUUACAUUCUAUGCUAGUGGAUUACAACAAAUAGUUUUGAACUUAUCUAAGUCAUGAAAUAAUUCAUGUAUUGCUGACCCACUUAACACACAAUCAGAUGGCGCUAUGCACUCCCUCCCACACAAGCAAAUGUCAAUGACUAGUAACUACGUGAACAUACAAACGGUGGUGUUCAAGAAUUAUAAAUAUCUGCUAGAAAAACAUUUGCAACUGCAACACACCAAUGAAUAUAUAAUGUUUGACCUACGUACAUGAGAAGAUAGUCUCGCUCUAUCACAGUCUGACCACAAAAGAAGCGCCUCUUUCAGAGAGAUCUAACCUGCAGUGUGUAUAAAUGUACCCACCUAACUAGAUUUAAAUCAAAAUUCCUGAUUUUCACUGGACAUGUGAAAUUGCCAAAUCCAGAGAACAUAAGAGCGAGAUAAGGAAGAACCUAUUGGACAGAAGGGAUCCCGUGGCCAUCCAGUAAGCAAGGAUGGCUCGGUUACCACAGGCGGCAAGGUCGGCACAGGCGGCGUGGUCAGCAAAAUGCGCGGGCAACAAGGGAAUUGCAGCGCCGUCACCCAGCUGGCAUUGCCAUGGUCACCCCACCCAUCGCAUCAAAUUUAUAAAUUGCAGCCAAAAUUCAUCAUACACAUCAGAUUCACGAUAAGUGGACACAUACAUCAGACUCAUGAUCAAUUUAGAGCCAAAAUUCUAAGAGUAAAUCAAUUUUAAGUUUGCUGCAGCUAGCAGUACACCUAAAUCAACAUGUACAAGUGCUAUUGAUUAGGCCAAAUAUCUGCUACUAUUGGUCAGUCCAUCUCAGGUUAAGACGCAACAUAUAAUAUAACAAACUUGUUUUUAUACCAAGUAAGCUGGUAUGACACACUGAGCAUCAUAUCCUAAAGAUGCAAGCUUAAUUACCAUGUUACAAGUUCGACUACUUCUGUGGUUCUACAUAGAACAUUAAAUUUCGGCAGCAAGGAAUGCAGAGUAACAUAAAAAGAAGGGUUAAUUGGAUAUAAGCAGUGAACAACAGUGCGGGAAGGGUGGAACAAAUGUACCUCGACGGGGGAGGGAAGGAUAAGUAGAACGGCGGUGUCAGUGGCGAAGAUGUACUCGAUGUAGGGAGGAGAGGUAGUUGGGCUUCGGAGGUGCUGCAGGGUCGGCGGCAGGAAGGACAUCUCGGGGAGUCAUUGGUGAAGCAACACCCAAGCGAUGGGAGAGGCAGCUCAGGUGGCUUCCAAUCUUUGAGGGGAGGGGCAGCUUUGCAACGGGAGGGCAAAGCUCUGGACGAAGUUGUCAAGAGGAGGCGGAUCCCAAUCCACCGGUCAGAGUAGAGGAGGGACUCUGGUGGCCCGAGAUCGGACGGGCGGCGGCGGCGACAUCAAAGGAGAAACCCUAGCAGGCGGUGGUAUGGGGGUCAGAGGGAGGGAAGAGAAGUGACGACCUCGGUGGCAGAGAAGCUUGGCUGGCCGGAGCUGGGCACGCCCCAGAUCUGGGAAGCUCUCUGCGUUAGGAGAGGGGGAUUUGGACUCGGCCAGGGAGAAGAUUGCCCAAAUUUUCAUCUCCUUCGCGCACUUUCUCGCUACACGCCAUGUCUC